CCUGAUGCAGCCGUGCCGCGUGAGCGAAGAAGGCUUUAGGGUUGUAAAGCUCUUUCCCGGAGAAGAUAAUGACGGUAUCCGGAGAUAAGCCCCGGCUAACUCCGUGCCAGCAGCCGCGGUAAUACUGAGGGGGCUAGCGUUGUUCGGAAUUACUGGGCGUAAAGCGUGCCUAGGCGGAUUGAUAAGUUAGGGGUGAAAGCUCGGGGCUCAACCUCGGAGCUGCCCUUAAUACUGUUGAUCUAAAAUCCGGAAAAGGUGAGUGGAAUUCCCAGUGUAAGGUGGAAUUCGUAAAUAUUGGGAAGAACACCGGCGGCGAGGGCGCUCACUGGGACGGGAUUGACGUGAGGGACCAAAGCUGGGUAAAAAAAGGAUUAAAAUCCC
This 381-nucleotide ribosomal RNA is filed under the name uncultured bacterium. RNAcentral describes it as "bacterial SSU rRNA". It matches the Rfam family "Bacterial small subunit ribosomal RNA", at positions 382 to 787 of the family's 1533-position model. The record is from RNAcentral.